AUGGAUAGAUCCAGCAGGCAAAUUAUCAAUGAGGACAGAGUUGAACUCAACAACACUAUUAAUCAACUGGAGGUAAUGGAUAUCUGGAAGCAUGGCGGAAACGCGAAGCUUCGGGAAGACUUCAGGAUGCAGAAUAAAUCCGUCUUUUAUUUGGGCGCCAGUGGAGAAACCACCGGCAGAGUGCUCUUAAAGGAAAUCUGGGGCGGGCUUGUUUUCCAAAGUCACUCUCAUUGGCCGGAGGAAGCUCGCCUUCAACAAGGAAGUUUAUAAAAAUGUGAAUCAAUGAGUGGUGGACGUUGAAAGAUUGGAUUACUACGCUUCUGCCUUUCAAGGUCAUGAUGUUGGAUUCUGUUGCCUGGGUACCACCAGAGGGAAAGCUGGGGCGGAGGGAUUUGUUCGUGUUGAGCGAGAUGAUGUGCUGAAGUCUGCAGAGCUGGCAAAAGCUGGAGGGUGCAAACAUUUCAACUCUGUAUCUUCUAAAGGAGCUGAAAAGUGAAGCAGUUUUUUAAUACCUGCAAGUUAAGGGAGAAGUGGAAGCCAGAUCUGAAGAAUUAAAGUUUGAUCCGUAUUCUGUUUUUAGGCCUGGAGUUCUGUUGCGUGAUAGGCAAGAAUCUUGCCCAGGUAAUGUAUGUUUGCUUAGAAAGUUCGUUGGCUCCUUACCAGAUUCUUGGGCUACUGAGCAUUCUGUGCCUGUGGUGACUGUGGUUAGAGCAAUGCUGAACAAUGCGGUGAGAACAAGCGACAAGAUGAUGAUCCUGCUGGAAAACAAGGCCAUCCAUGACGUGGGGAAAGCGCACGGCUCUCUCAAGCCGUGAUCACACUGGAGAAAAGGUUUUUAGUGUCAACUUUAACACCUAUCACCAAAUCGGUAAUUUCAGGGUCCAAAAAAAGUCAGCAUAUUUUAACUUCGUUGUUUUACUAGUCUCAGGCAUCCAUUCCAAUCAAGAAAUGGUGGUGUUCUGCAUCAUUGGUUCAGAGCUUGGUUAUACAUAUAGAUCACCCAGGGAGCUUUGGAAAAGUAAAGAUUUGCAAGCUCUAUCUCAAACUUGAAUCAAAAUUUCUGGGGCAUGGGCACAAUAAUCUGUAAUUAUCCUUGUUUAUACUUCCCCUGAUGCCACUGGUUCUGAUGCCACUGGUUGGGAGGCCUCCUUUGAAAUGCUUGUAUGCAUAGUCACACAGCAGUGAAAACCUUAUGAACAUGCAAAUGAGCUCUGCUCUAAAAUUGUUGACAUUCAUGUCUGAGUUACAAAAGUGCUAAUUAACUGCAUGUAAUUGUGUAAGUAAACACUGUGCCUUUACUAAUUCUUUAUGUAAUAGAAGUUGCAUAUCUAAGCUUAUAUAAUACAUGGAGAGGACUAAAUAAAGGAAUAAAGAUAAAUGAAAAAAGAAAGAAAGAACAGAAGAAAGAGCUAAAAUAAAGCUUCCACCUUGGGAAACUAGUAAAACAAGAACAAAUCAAAUUAAAAGUAAGC
Callithrix jacchus (white-tufted-ear marmoset) is the source of this 1472-nucleotide non-coding RNA. The record is from RefSeq and is a predicted model, not a curated record. NCBI's taxonomy places the organism in Eukaryota, Metazoa, Chordata, Mammalia, Primates, Cebidae.